GACGAACGCUGGCGGCGUGCUUAACACAUGCAAGUCGAACGAAAAGAGGGAAAGAGCUUGCUCUUUCCGGAAUUGAGUGGCAAACGGGUGAGUAACACGUAAACAACCUGCCUUCAGGAUGGGGACAACAGACGGAAACGACUGCUAAUACCGAAUAAGUUCCAAGAGCCGCAUGGCCCAUGGAAGAAAAGGUGGCCUCUACCUGUAAGCUAUCGCCUGAAGAGGGGUUUGCGUCUGAUUAGCUGGUUGGAGGGGUAACGGCCCACCAAGGCGACGAUCAGUAGCCGGUCUGAGAGGAUGAACGGCCACACUGGAACUGAGACACGGUCCAGACUCCUACGGGAGGCAGCAGUGGGAAUCUUCCGCAAUGGGCGAAAGCCUGACGGAGCAACGCCGCGUGAGUGAUGACGGCCUUCGGGUUGUAAAACUCUGUGAUCCGGGACGAAAAGGCAGAGUGCGAAGAACAAACUGCAUUGACGGUACCGGAAAAGCAAGCCACGGCUAA
RNAcentral lists this ribosomal RNA (505 nucleotides) under Dialister invisus. RNAcentral describes it as "bacterial SSU rRNA". It matches the Rfam family "Bacterial small subunit ribosomal RNA", at positions 28 to 500 of the family's 1533-position model. The record is from RNAcentral. Lineage: Bacteria; Bacillati; Bacillota; Negativicutes; Veillonellales; Veillonellaceae.